GAUGAAGAACGUAGCGAAAUGCGAUAAGUAGUGUGAAUUGCAGAAUUCAGUGAAUGAUCGAAUCUUUGAACGCACAUUGCGCCCCUUGGUAUCCCGAGGGGCAUGCCUGUUCGAGCGUCAUUUCACCACUCAAGCCUGGCUUGGUGUUGGGCGACGUCCUCUUUGGGGACGCGCCUCGAAACGCUCGGCGGCGUGGCACCGGCUUUAAGCGUAGCAGAAUCUUUCGCUUUGGAAGUCGGGGCCCCGUCUGCCGGAAGACCUGCUCGCAAGGUUGACCUCGGAUCAGGCAGGGAUACCCGCUGAACUUAAGCAUAUCAAUAAGCGGAGGA
RNAcentral lists this unclassified non-coding RNA (329 nucleotides) under soil metagenome. RNAcentral's name for it is "partial contains 5.8S ribosomal RNA, internal transcribed spacer 2, and large subunit ribosomal RNA". The stretch from base 1 to 120 matches the Rfam family "5.8S ribosomal RNA", at positions 35 to 154 of the family's 154-position model. The record is from RNAcentral.